Molecule: small RNA, 154 nt
Filed under: uncultured Bacteroides sp.
Lineage: Bacteria; Pseudomonadati; Bacteroidota; Bacteroidia; Bacteroidales; Bacteroidaceae
Description: Bacteroides sRNA BTnc231
Rfam family: Bacteroides sRNA BTnc231
About the family: An uncharacterized small RNA discovered in Bacteroides thetaiotaomicron
Source: RNAcentral
ACGUUUUUUUCAUAGAGAUUUAGAUUUAAGGUUAGAAGAAUUGUGGAAGUCGUGAGACUUCCCUUUUUUUCAUCUUAAAUUGAGUGCUUUGCGGCUUUUUGUUUUUGACCGCAAUAGAACAAAGAAAAGCUUUUUCGUGAGAAAGAGCUUUUUU